AAAAAAGACAGCACAACAUCCAUCUAAGAAGCAAAUGGAAUUUUUUUAAGCAAUAUGAAGUUUGUGUAAAUCCAAAUAUGAAUCAUUUUACAUUAUACACUUAAAUCCUUGCUUUUACCAUAUUAUGGAAUGCUAAAUGAAUUUUUAACCUUUUGAAAAAGCCAAUAGGAAGAUUAAAAGAGCGCAAUUAAAACAAUUGUUUAAAACUUAAGCAAGCCUUUACAAUUGAGGAUUAGUAAUGCUAAUCUGUCAAAGAAAACCAAGUAAAAUAUACUUACUAUUCUUACAUUCCCAGGAAUUCGAAAUGUGAAACUAAGUUUACUCCACAUAACCUAUUAGCAGAAGGUUUGGAUUUGGACAUUGAAAUAGAA
Molecule: unclassified non-coding RNA, 371 nt
Filed under: Hevea brasiliensis (rubber tree)
Lineage: Eukaryota; Viridiplantae; Streptophyta; Magnoliopsida; Malpighiales; Euphorbiaceae
Source: RNAcentral